Molecule: ribosomal RNA, 387 nt
Filed under: uncultured bacterium
Lineage: Bacteria
Description: bacterial SSU rRNA
Rfam family: Bacterial small subunit ribosomal RNA
Source: RNAcentral
GACGAACGCUGGCGGCGUGCUUAACACAUGCAAGUCGAACGGUGACGAGGAGCUUGCUCCUCUGAUCAGUGGCGAACGGGUGAGUAACACGUGGGCAACCUGCCCCUGACUUCGGGAUAACGCUUCGAAAGAGGUGCUAAUACCGGAUAUGAGUCCCUCCGGCAUCUGAGGGACUGGAAAGUUUUUCGGUCAGGGAUGGGCCCGCGGCCUAUCAGCUUGUUGGUGAGGUAACGGCUCACCAAGGCGACGACGGGUAGCCGGCCUGAGAGGGCGACCGGCCACACUGGGACUGAGACACGGCCCAGACUCCUACGGGAGGCAGCAGUGGGGAAUAUUGCGCAAUGGGCGAAAGCCUGACGCAGCAACGCCGCGUGAGGGAUGACGGCC